UGGGGAGGUAGCUCAACGGUAGAGCAUCGAGCUCAAAACUCGAGUGUUGUGGGUUCGAACCCCACCCUCCCAA
RNAcentral lists this transfer RNA (73 nucleotides) under Candidatus Campbelliibacteriota bacterium. RNAcentral describes it as "Candidatus Campbellbacteria bacterium tRNA-Leu". It matches the Rfam family "tRNA". From Rfam's summary of the family: Transfer RNA (tRNA) molecules are approximately 80 nucleotides in length. The record is from RNAcentral. Lineage: Bacteria; Candidatus Campbelliibacteriota.